This 729-nucleotide ribosomal RNA is filed under the name uncultured eukaryote. Its description in RNAcentral is "SSU rRNA". It matches the Rfam family "Eukaryotic small subunit ribosomal RNA", at positions 670 to 1426 of the family's 1831-position model. The record is from RNAcentral.
CGGGUGCACUGAUCCAGCCGGGCCUUUCCCUCUGUGGAACCCCAUGGCCUUCACUGGCUGUGGUGGGGAAACAGGACUUUUACUUUGAAAAAAUUAGAGUGCUCCAGGCAGGCCUAUGCUCGAAUACAUUAGCAUGGAAUAAUAGAAUAGGACGUGUGGUUCUAUUUUGUUGGUUUCUAGGACCGCCGUAAUGAUUAAUAGGGACAGUCGGGGGCAUCAGUAUUCAAUUGUCAGAGGUGAAAUUCUUGGAUCUAUUGAAGACUAACUACUGCGAAAGCAUUUGCCAAGGGUGUUUUCAUUGAUAAGGAACGAAAGUUAGGGGAUCGAAGACGAUCAGAUACCGUCGUAGUCUUAACUAUAAACUAUGCCGACUAGGGAUCGGACGAUGUUAUUCUUUGACGCGUUCGGCACCUUUCGAGAAAUCAAAGUGCUUGGGCUCCAGGGGGAGUAUGGUCGCAAGGCUGAAACUUAAAGAAAUUGACGGAAGGGCACCACCAGGGGUGGAACCUGCGGCUUAAUUUGACUCAACACGGGGAAACUCACCAGGUCCAGACACAGUGAGGAUUGACAGAUUGAGAGCUCUUUCUUGAUUCUGUGGGUGGUGGUGCAUGGCCGUUCUUAGUUGGUGGAGUGAUUUGUCUGCUUAAUUGCGAUAACGAACGAGACCUUAACCUGCUAAAUAGCCCGUACUGCUUUGGCAGUUCGCCGGCUUCUUAGAGGGACUAUCGG